Biomphalaria glabrata is the source of this 482-nucleotide long non-coding RNA. RefSeq lists it as uncharacterized. The record is from RefSeq and is a predicted model, not a curated record. NCBI's taxonomy places the organism in Eukaryota, Metazoa, Mollusca, Gastropoda, Planorbidae. The transcript has 3 exons.
GUAGGAACAUUUAUUAAUAGUGAGUCUAAUUUAUAACAAAGCUCAAAUAAUUUCUGAUACAGUUUGACUAAAGAGUAAACAAGUGAAGCUACUCGUAGCUGAUAUUGCAUUCUAUGGGGACAGAACAUGUCAAGGUCAUCUGUUUCUGCCAACAGCUACAGAGAACCACGUACAUUGUUGGGAAAGAAAAGAAAUGUCUCGCUAAAUACGUUUUAGGAAAGAUUAACUGGGACGAAGCAGCAGAACACAUGAGAACUGAAGGAUACACUAGAACCUCGACACAAUUACAAGGGAAUGUUAAACGACAGCUGAAAAAAUAGAACAAAAAUACGACCAAAAAAGUUCUUUAGCUACCAGUUAACAAACAAAUAUGUUCGAAUUAUUGUUAAUGUUAUUAUAGUAAUUCAUCUUAUCAGCUUGCGAAUUCUUCGAUGAAAAAAAAAAACAACAACAUUGGAAACAAUAUCGUCGCUAACGAUUUU